AACAGCUAAUGGAAUGGGUGAAAGAACAUCGUGACACACUUGACGCAUUGAAAAGAUGCCGAGACUACAACAAUGUUGCAAUCAAACUUGCAAAUC
Ipomoea nil (Japanese morning glory) is the source of this 96-nucleotide long non-coding RNA. RefSeq lists it as uncharacterized. The record is from RefSeq and is a predicted model, not a curated record. Lineage: Eukaryota; Viridiplantae; Streptophyta; Magnoliopsida; Solanales; Convolvulaceae. The transcript has 3 exons.